UACGUAGGUGGCAAGCGUUGUCCGGAUUUACUGGGCGUAAAGGGCGUACAGGCGGUUUGGUAAGUUCAGGGUGAAAGCUCCCGGCUCAACUGGGAGAGGUCCUUGGAUACUGGCAGACUUGAGGAGGGUAGAGGAGAGUGGAAUUCCCGGUGUAGUGGUGAUAUGCGUAGAUAUCGGGAGGAACACCAGUGGCGAAGGCGGCUCUCUGGGCCUUACCUGACGCUGAGACGCGAAAGCGUGGGGAGCGAACCGG
RNAcentral lists this ribosomal RNA (253 nucleotides) under uncultured bacterium. RNAcentral's name for it is "partial 16S ribosomal RNA". It matches the Rfam family "Bacterial small subunit ribosomal RNA", at positions 524 to 776 of the family's 1533-position model. The record is from RNAcentral.